RNAcentral lists this ribosomal RNA (365 nucleotides) under uncultured eukaryote. RNAcentral describes it as "partial 18S ribosomal RNA". It matches the Rfam family "Eukaryotic small subunit ribosomal RNA", at positions 592 to 976 of the family's 1831-position model. The record is from RNAcentral.
CAAUAGCGUAUAUUUAAGUUGUUGCAGUUAAAAAGCUCGUAGUCGGAUUUUGGCUGAGAACGAUCGGUCCGCCGUUAGGUGUGCACUGAUUGGUCUCAGCUUCCUGGUGAGGAGGUGUGCUUCACGGCCACUUAGUCACCGUGGUUACUUUGAAAAAAUUAGAGUGUUCAAAGCGGGCUUACGCUUGAAUAUAUUAGCAUGGAAUAACACCAUAGGACUCCUGUCCUAUUUCGUUGGUCUCGGGACGGGAGUAAUGAUUAAGAGGAACAGUUGGGGGCAUUCGUAUUUCAUUGUCAGAGGUGAAAUUCUUGGAUUUAUGAAAGACAAACUGCUGCGAAAGCGUCUGCCAAGGAUGUUUUCAUUGA